Molecule: ribosomal RNA, 253 nt
Filed under: uncultured bacterium
Lineage: Bacteria
Description: partial 16S ribosomal RNA
Rfam family: Bacterial small subunit ribosomal RNA
Source: RNAcentral
UACGUAGGGGGCGAGCGUUGUCCGGAUUUAUUGGGCGUAAAGAGCGUGUAGGCGGCCAGGUAGGUCCGCUGUGAAAUCUCGAGGCUCAACUUCGAGCUGUCGGCGGAAACUAUCUGGCUAGAGUCCGGAAGAGGAGAAUGGAAUUCCUGGUGUAGCGGUGAAAUGCGCAGAUAUCAGGAAGAACACCCGUGGCGAAGGCGGUUCUCUGGGACGGUACUGACGCUGAGACGCGAAAGCGUGGGGAGCGAACAGG